Molecule: ribosomal RNA, 252 nt
Filed under: uncultured bacterium
Lineage: Bacteria
Description: partial 16S ribosomal RNA
Rfam family: Bacterial small subunit ribosomal RNA
Source: RNAcentral
UACGUAGGGAGCGAGCGUUGUCCGGAAUUACUGGGUGUAAAGGGAGCGUAGGCGGGACUGCAAGUUGGGUGUCGAAUCUACCGGCUCAACCGGUAGCCGCACUCAAAACUGCAGUUCUUGAGUGAAGUAGAGGCAGGCGGAAUUCCUAGUGUAGCGGUGAAAUGCGUAGAUAUUAGGAGGAACACCAGUGGCGAAGGCGGCCUGCUGGGCUUUUACUGACGCUGAGGCUCGAAAGUGUGGGGAGCAAACAGG